UCCGAAUUAGUGUAACGGUCAACAUAUCGCGUUUUCAGUUCUAAAACCGCGAAGCUCGGGGUUCGAUUCCCCGAUUCGGAG
Molecule: non-coding RNA, 81 nt
Organism: Xylariaceae sp. FL1272
Lineage: Eukaryota; Fungi; Ascomycota; Sordariomycetes; Xylariales; Xylariaceae
Source: the annotation of a GenBank genome assembly